This 16-nucleotide ribosomal RNA is filed under the name Phomopsis sp. NF24. RNAcentral's name for it is "partial 18S ribosomal RNA". Lineage: Eukaryota; Fungi; Ascomycota; Sordariomycetes; Diaporthales; Diaporthaceae. The record is from RNAcentral.
UGCGGAGGGAACAUUG